GACGAACGCUGGCGGCGUGCUUAACACAUGCAAGUCGAACGGAAAGGCCCUGCUUUUGUGGGUUGCUCGAGUGGCGAACGGGUGAGUAACACGUGAGUAACCUGCCCUUGACUUUGGGAUAACUUCAGGAAACGGGGGCUAAUACCGGAUAGGAUCUCCUGCGGCAAGGUGGGGGUGGGAAAGUGUCGGCGGUUGGGGAUGGACUCGCGGCUUAUCAGCUUGUUGGUGGGGUAGUGGCUUACCAAGGCUUUGACGGGUAGCCGGCCUGAGAGGGUGACCGGCAACAUUGGGACUGAGAUACGGCCCAGACCCCUACGGGAGGCAGCAGUGGGGAAUAUUGCACAAUGGGCGGAAGCAUGAUGCAGCAACGCCGCGUGCGGGAUGCCGGCCUUCGGGUUGUAAACCGCUUUCGCCUGUGACGAAGCGUGAGUGACGGUAAUGGGUAAAGAAGCACCGGCUAACUACGUG
Molecule: ribosomal RNA, 468 nt
Filed under: uncultured bacterium
Lineage: Bacteria
Description: partial 16S ribosomal RNA
Rfam family: Bacterial small subunit ribosomal RNA
Source: RNAcentral